RNAcentral lists this ribosomal RNA (491 nucleotides) under uncultured bacterium. RNAcentral's name for it is "partial 16S ribosomal RNA". It matches the Rfam family "Bacterial small subunit ribosomal RNA", at positions 29 to 506 of the family's 1533-position model. The record is from RNAcentral.
AGUGAACGCUGGCGGUAGGCCUAACACAUGCAAGUCGAACGGCAGCACAGUAAGAGCUUGCUCUUACGGGUGGCGAGUGGCGGACGGGUGAGGAAUACAUCGGAAUCUACUUUUUCGUGGGGGAUAACGUAGGGAAACUUACGCUAAUACCGCAUACGACCUACGGGUGAAAGCAGGGGAUCUUCGGACCUUGCGCGAUUGAACGAGCCGAUGUCGGAUUAGCUAGUUGGCGGGGUAAAGGCCCACCAAGGCGACGAUCCGUAGCUGGUCUGAGAGGAUGAUCAGCCACACUGGAACUGAGACACGGUCCAGACUCCUACGGGAGGCAGCAGUGGGGAAUAUGGGACAAUGGGCGCAAGCCUGAUCCAGCCAUACCGCGUGGGUGAAGAAGGCCUUCGGGUUGUAAAGCCCUUUUGUUGGGAAAGAAAAGCAGCAGGUUAAUACCCCGCUGUUCUGACGGUACCCAAAGAAUAAGCACCGGCUAACUUCGU